CCUACGGGAGGCAGCAGUGAGGAAUAUUGGUCAAUGGACGAGAGUCUGAACCAGCCAAGUAGCGUGAAGGAUGACUGCCCUAUGGGUUGUAAACUUCUUUUAUAUGGGAAUAAAAUGUUCCACGUGUGGGAUUUUGUAUGUACCAUAUGAAUAAGGCUCGGCUAACUCCGUGCCAGCAGCCGCGGUAAUACGGAGGAUCCGAGCGUUAUCCGGAUUUAUUGGGGUUAAAGGGAGCGUAGGUGGAUUGUUAAGUCAGUUGUGAAAGUUUGCGGCUCAACCGUAAAAUUGCAGUUGAGACUGGCAGUCUUGAGUACAGGAGAGGUGAGCGGAAUUCGUGGUGUAGCGGUGAAAUGCUUAGAUAUCACGAAGAACUCCGAUUGCGAAGGCAGUUCACUGGACUGCAACUGACACUGAGGCUCGAAAGUGUGGGUAUCAAACAGGAUUAGAUACCCUUGUAGUC
RNAcentral lists this ribosomal RNA (460 nucleotides) under uncultured bacterium. Its description in RNAcentral is "partial 16S ribosomal RNA". It matches the Rfam family "Bacterial small subunit ribosomal RNA", at positions 338 to 795 of the family's 1533-position model. The record is from RNAcentral.